This 1338-nucleotide unclassified non-coding RNA is filed under the name Hevea brasiliensis (rubber tree). Lineage: Eukaryota; Viridiplantae; Streptophyta; Magnoliopsida; Malpighiales; Euphorbiaceae. The record is from RNAcentral.
GCCAUGCAAAAAAACAUCAUCAUCAAAUUAAAAACCAGUGUAAAGCUACAGGGCAAAAAAAAGAGUUUGUGGCUCCAAAACUAAAAAAUGUACUGCUAAAAGUUCAUGCAUCUAGUUGAAGGUAUUUUCAAUAAACAUCAGCCAACCAUUUGAAUAAAGAUGGAAAGGACACAUAUAAUUACAUGCAUGAUAAAGGGAAAAUGGCUUAAGUUUGCAAUGUGACACAAAUCCCUGAGAUCAAAAUGCAGAGACGAAUAACCAAUCUUACUUCUUAACGGAAAAAGCAAAAGAAUUCCAUAAGGAAUAUAUAAUGAUUUGGAAUUACAGACAUAUGUAUGCCUUUGGGCAUAAAAGUCCUUUCAAAUUCCCCUUUUUCAGUGGUAAUGAAAUGACCGCAUCUUUAAGGGCCAGGUUAUCUUUCAAACUUUCCUGGCUUCUUUGUGCCCUUUUAAUUCAAAGAGCAUUUUGGACAGUGUCACUUUAGUAUGAAUACAGGCAAACACUUAUUAAUAGUUAGUUUCUUUACAUAUUGCUCACUGGAAGAAACAUAAUGUGGUACUCUGAAAAAACAAAUAAGUUGUAUGCCAUGCAAUCAGGGGCGGAUCCACCAUGGGGCAGUGGGGGGCAAGUUGCCCCCACUGGCUUCAAAAAUCCUAUGUAGAGUUUGCGUUUUUAUAAAUUUGUGCCCACUCAAUUAUUUCUCCUUGUUGUUUAAAUUGCCCUCACUAUAUAGAGCACGUGUUUUUAUAAAUUUGCCCCCACUCAAUUAUUUCUCUUUGCCCACACUCAAUUGCUUCAAUUGUCCCACUUUGUAAAAUUAGUGAUUCAUUUUAAGUUUUAUUUCUACGCAAAUGUAAUUAUUUUUAUUUAUACAAAUCUCAUUUACUUAAAGUGAUUUAUUCUAAAUUUUAUUUAUAUGUACUCAAUUUUUUUUAUUUAUACAAACAUAUAUGUUUUGUGUGCAUCGCCCCACAAACAAAAUUUUCUAGAUCCGCCAGUACAUGCAGAGUAUAGUUAUCUAGUUAUCUUAUAGAAAUAGUACCACAUAGCACAGGAAAAAAUCCAACAAAACAAUUCUACCCAAUUAUCAUCGAAAGACAAUGAGUCAUUCUAUGUAGAAUAAUACAACAGCAAAUCACUGAAGCCCAAUUUCUUUUUUCUUCAACAUUAUAGCAUGGAAUCUGAACUAGAGAGAAAACUCUAGUAAAAUAAAAUUAAUAGGUAUAGUUACUACCUUCUUGAUCGACGUUUGGAUCUCUUAUCACGUCUCUUUCGCCUUUUUUCACGCCGUUUAUCUCUUCUUUUUCCACGUCUAUACUUGUCUCUUUUAGAAGAUCU